CGGAUUGUAGUCUGCAACCCGACUACAUGAAGCUGGAAUCGCUAGUAAUCGCGGAUCAGAAUGCCGCGGUGAAUACGUUCCCGGGUCUUGUACACACCGCCCGUCACACCAUGGGAGUCGGAAAUGCCCGAAGUCUGUGACCCAACCUUAGGGAGGGAGCAGCCGAAGGCAGGUCGGAUGACUGGGGUGAAGUCGUAACAAGGUAAC
RNAcentral lists this ribosomal RNA (207 nucleotides) under uncultured bacterium. Its description in RNAcentral is "partial 16S ribosomal RNA". It matches the Rfam family "Bacterial small subunit ribosomal RNA", at positions 1294 to 1500 of the family's 1533-position model. The record is from RNAcentral.